AUGUAUUUUCUACAAAUGAAAACUGUCUUCACUAGCAGCUUUCACUGGAAAGGCUGCUCAGCAGUUUGGGAUGCUGAUGACCCUCAAGUCCCACUGCAAACAAGAAUUUUGGAGAGGGGACCUCCUUACUUUCAAGGUUCUGGCGUAACUACAGAGCCUACUGAAAUGCUGAAGAGAAGUUCGAGGAAGAGGGAGAUUUCCAACAAAAGUGAUUUUUUUGUUUUUCCUCUUCCCUUGGGAUUUUUACAAUCUCUGAAACAAGGAUGGCUACAACUUGUUUUGAAAAGGAACUGCUCAUGGGAAUAAUGCAGUGAAAAUGUUCCCCAAUAGAAAAAAUUCAAUGAUCAAAGUUGUUACUUAAAGAAGGCUCCAUAAAAGCCACUUCCAGGAGCCUCACCGGAACCCAGAGACUUACUAGGAUUGAGACACAGGUACUUGUGUACCUGCCAUAUAUUACCUUUCUGUGCUAUUUCUACCCAGCGUAUACCUGACUCUUGUACUCACUCCCUUGUGAGCAGAGAAGUAUCUGUCUCAUCUUUCUUUCAAUAAAACUUUUUUCAUAGACA
RNAcentral lists this long non-coding RNA (566 nucleotides) under Numida meleagris (helmeted guineafowl). RNAcentral's name for it is "lncRNA (ENSNMEG00000010841.1)". The record is from RNAcentral. Lineage: Eukaryota; Metazoa; Chordata; Aves; Galliformes; Numididae.